UACAGAGGUCUCAAGCGUUGUUCGGAUUCAUUGGGCGUAAAGGGUGCGUAGGCGGCGCGGUAAGUCGGAUGUGAAAUCUCGGAGCUUAACUCCGAAACUGCAUUCGAUACUGCCGUGCUUGAGGACUGGAGAGGAGACUGGAAUUUACGGUGUAGCGGUGAAAUGCUUAGAUAUCGUAAGGAAGACCAGUGGCGAAGGCGGGUCUCUGGACAGUUCCUGACGCUGAGGCACGAAGGCCAGGGGAGCAAACGGG
RNAcentral lists this ribosomal RNA (253 nucleotides) under uncultured bacterium. RNAcentral describes it as "partial 16S ribosomal RNA". It matches the Rfam family "Bacterial small subunit ribosomal RNA", at positions 524 to 776 of the family's 1533-position model. The record is from RNAcentral.